UACAGAGGGUGCGAGCGUUGUUCGGAAUUACUGGGCGUAAAGCGCGCGCAGGCGGCCUUUUAAGUCUCGUGGUGAAAUGCCGGGGCUCAACCCCGUGCCCGCCGGAGAUACUGGGAGGCUGGAGACAUGUAGAGGCAAGCGGAAUUCCGGGUGUAGCGGUGGAAUGCGUAGAGAUCCGGAAGAACACCGGAGGCGAAGGCGGCUUGCUGGGCAUUGUCUGACGCUGAGGCUCGAAAGCUAGGGGAGCAAACGGG
RNAcentral lists this ribosomal RNA (254 nucleotides) under uncultured bacterium. RNAcentral's name for it is "partial 16S ribosomal RNA". It matches the Rfam family "Bacterial small subunit ribosomal RNA", at positions 524 to 776 of the family's 1533-position model. The record is from RNAcentral.